UAGACUCCUUGUUUGCAUACUAGAAUAAUCAGAACAAUCCAAUAAAUUAGAUCUGUGCUAGGAAUAUAGAAUGGAUGAGCUGUUAUAUAGAUUAGAUUAUCUAUUAGCUAUCAGACACUCUCCCUUUCUAUCUUUUCUUCCUGCACAACAAGUUGAAUGUCCAGUCGUGUAUCAAUUUUCUAUGUUUAUAUAUGAGCUAGUUCAUCAAGAUCAAACCCUAUUGACCCAUAGAUUAGGAAAUAACCCACACUUCAAUGCUCAUAAUUCAGGCUGGAAGGCUCAAUCAAAAUUUUCAUGAAAUCCACACUCAGUAGUUACCCCGACAAUAUAAGAAUCUAUGUUUGCAGAAGCACCCUAUUAAGAUGUGCCCUAUUCACCAUAUCAACCUUCUUCAAGUACCUAUAGCCCAUCAUUUGAAGAGAAGGUUUAGCAAGCAUUAGAUAGGCUAGAACUUAAGCAUCAGACCCUUCACAUCUCUAUGCAAUCUUUAGCCGAACUAGAAAUUUAAGUCAAUCAAUUAGUAAUCACAAUCAAUGGGGAGGAGGAAAA
This 549-nucleotide long non-coding RNA is filed under the name Elaeis guineensis (African oil palm). RNAcentral's name for it is "long non-coding RNA (EGUI_LNC058440)". Lineage: Eukaryota; Viridiplantae; Streptophyta; Magnoliopsida; Arecales; Arecaceae. The record is from RNAcentral.